RNAcentral lists this small RNA (288 nucleotides) under Pseudoponticoccus marisrubri. Its description in RNAcentral is "Ponticoccus sp. SJ5A-1 5' ureB small RNA". It matches the Rfam family "5' ureB small RNA". Lineage: Bacteria; Pseudomonadati; Pseudomonadota; Alphaproteobacteria; Rhodobacterales; Roseobacteraceae. The record is from Rfam by way of RNAcentral.
GUCCUCGAUCUGCUGCGGACAGAUGAAGUGGAUAUGGCUGUCGAACCCGCCCGCGGUCAGGAUCCGCCCCUCGGCGGCGAUCGCCUCGGUCCCGGGCCCCACGAUGAUGUCGACCCCGGGCUGGGUGUCAGGAUUGCCCGCCUUGCCGAUCUUCGCGAUGCGCCCGUCCUUCAGCCCGAUAUCGGCCUUGUAGAUGCCCGUAUGGUCGACGAUCAGCGCAUUGGUGAUCACCGUGUCCACCGCGCCCUCGGCCCGGGUGGCCUGGCUCUGGCCCAUGCCGUCGCGGAU